UGCAUGUCUAAGUAUAAACGAUUUAAUCGUGAAACCGCGAAUGGCUCAUUAUAACAGCUAUAAUUUACUUGAUCUUGACACAAUCCUACUUGGAUAACUGUGGUAAUUCUAGAGCUAAUACAUGCAUUAAAGCUCUGACCUCACGGGAAGAGUGCAUUUAUUAGAACAAAACCAAGCGGCUUCGGCUGUUUCUGGUUGACUCAUAGUAACUGAGCUGAUCGCAUGGUCUUGCACCGGCGACGUGUCUUUCAAGUAUCUGCCGUAUCAACUUUCGAUGGUAGUGUAUCUGACUACCAUGGUGAUCACGCGUAACGGAGAAUAAGGGUUCGGCUCCGGAGAGUUCGCCUGAGAAAUCGCGAACACAUCUAAGGAAGGCAGCAGGCGCGAAAAUUACCCACUCUCAGCACGAGGAGGUAGUGACGAAAAAUAACGAGACCGUUCUCUUAUGAGGCCGGUCAUCGGAAUGGGUACAAUUUAAACCCUUUAACGAGUAU
Molecule: ribosomal RNA, 494 nt
Filed under: Acrobeloides sp. Sourhope farm
Lineage: Eukaryota; Metazoa; Nematoda; Chromadorea; Rhabditida; Cephalobidae
Description: SSU rRNA
Rfam family: Eukaryotic small subunit ribosomal RNA
Source: RNAcentral